GUUUUUGUAGUUGAUUUACAACGGUAGUUUUUCAGAUUGCUGGUCUCGUAAGAGCAAGAACC
Molecule: transfer RNA, 62 nt
Filed under: Ptyas korros
Lineage: Eukaryota; Metazoa; Chordata; Lepidosauria; Squamata; Colubridae
Description: tRNA-Glu
Source: RNAcentral